UUAUUGGGCGUAAAGUGUGUUUCGGUGGUUUAAAAAGAUUUAUAUUAAAUGUUUGGGUUCAACUCAAAAAAUGUAUAAAUUACUAUUAGACUUGAGUUUAAUAUAAGAAAAUAGAAUUUUGUGUGUAGCGGUGAAAUGUGCAGAUAUACAAAGGAAUGCCGAAGGCGAAAGCAAUUUUCUUGAUUAUAACUGACACUUAUACACGAAAGCGUGGGUAGCAAACAGGAUUAGAUACCCUGGUAGUCCACGCCCUAAACUAUGUCGAUUAGCUGUUUUUUAGUAGCGUAGCUAACGCGUUAAAUCGACCGCCUGGGGACUACGAUCGCAAGAUUAAAACUCAAAGGAAUUGACGGGGACCAGCACAAGCGGUGGAUGAUGUGGAUUAAUUCGAUGAUACACGAAAAACCUUACCUACCCUUGACAUGAUUAGAAUUUUAUUGAAAAAUAAAAGUGCUUGAAAAAGAGCUAAUACACAGGUGCUGCAUGGCUGUUGACAGCUCGUGUCGUGAGAUGUUGGGUUAAGUCCCGCAACGAGCGCAACCCCCACUCUUAGUUGCUAAGUUUUAAGUACUUUAAGAGAACUGCCGACGAUAAGUCUAGGAGGAAGGAGGGGAAGACUUCAAGUCCUCAUGGCCCUUAUGGGUAGGGCUUCACACGUCAUACAAUGGUUGAUACAAUAAGUUGCGAAAUUGCAAAAUGGAGCCAAUCUAAAAAAUCAAUCUAAGUUCGGAUUGUACUCUGCAACUCGAGUGCAUGAAGUUGGAAUCGCUAGUAAUCGCGGAUCAGCAUGCCGCGG
RNAcentral lists this ribosomal RNA (796 nucleotides) under beta proteobacterium endosymbiont of Nesophrosyne sp. Its description in RNAcentral is "bacterial SSU rRNA". It matches the Rfam family "Bacterial small subunit ribosomal RNA", at positions 551 to 1362 of the family's 1533-position model. The record is from RNAcentral. Lineage: Bacteria; Pseudomonadati; Pseudomonadota; Betaproteobacteria.